GACGAACGCUGGCGGCGUGCCUAAUACAUGCAAGUUGAGCGCUGAAGGUUGGUACUUGUACCAACUGGAUGAGCAGCGAACGGGUGAGUAACGCGUGGGGAAUCUGCCUUUGAGCGGGGGACAACAUUUGGAAACGAAUGCUAAUACCGCAUAAAAACUUUAAACACAAGGUUUAAGUGUGAAAGAUGCAAUUGCAUCACUCAAAGAUGAUCCCGCGUUGUAUUAGCUAGUUGGUGAGGUAAAGGCUCACCAAGGCGAUGAUACAUAGCCGACCUGAGAGGGUGAUCGGCCACAUUGGGACGGGGACACGGCCCAAACUCCUACGGGAGGCAGCAGUAGGGAAUCUUCGGCAAUGGACGAAAGUCUGACCGAGCAACGCCGCGUGAGUGAAGAAGGUUCUCGGAUCGUAAAACUCGGUUGGUAGAGAAGAACGUUGGUGAGAGUGGAAAGCUCAUCAAGUGACGGUAACUACACAGAAAGGAACGGCUAACUACGUG
This 497-nucleotide ribosomal RNA is filed under the name uncultured bacterium. RNAcentral describes it as "partial 16S ribosomal RNA". It matches the Rfam family "Bacterial small subunit ribosomal RNA", at positions 28 to 507 of the family's 1533-position model. The record is from RNAcentral.